RNAcentral lists this ribosomal RNA (460 nucleotides) under uncultured bacterium. Its description in RNAcentral is "partial 16S ribosomal RNA". It matches the Rfam family "Bacterial small subunit ribosomal RNA", at positions 338 to 795 of the family's 1533-position model. The record is from RNAcentral.
CCUACGGGUGGCAGCAGUGAGGAAUAUUGGUCAAUGGGCGGAAGCCUGAACCAGCCAAGUCGCGUGAGGGAAUACGGCCCUACGGGUUGUAAACCUCUUUUGCCGGGGAGCAAGGGCCGGGACGUGUCCCGUCCCGGAGAGUACCCGGAGAAAAAGCAUCGGCUAACUCCGUGCCAGCAGCCGCGGUAAUACGGAGGAUGCGAGCGUUAUCCGGAUUUAUUGGGUUUAAAGGGUGCGUAGGCGGGCUGUUAAGUCAGCGGUAAAAUUUCGGGGCUCAACCCCGUCCGGCCGUUGAAACUGGGGGCCUUGAGUGGACGAGAAGAAGGCGGAAUGCGUGGUGUAGCGGUGAAAUGCAUAGAUAUCACGCAGAACCCCGAUUGCGAAGGCAGCCUUCCGGCUCCCUACUGACGCUGAGGCACGAAAGUGCGGGGAUCGAACAGGAUUAGAUACCCUAGUAGUC